This 427-nucleotide ribosomal RNA is filed under the name uncultured bacterium. RNAcentral describes it as "partial 16S ribosomal RNA". It matches the Rfam family "Bacterial small subunit ribosomal RNA", at positions 355 to 774 of the family's 1533-position model. The record is from RNAcentral.
UGGGGAAUAUUGCACAAUGGGCGCAAGCCUGAUGCAGCCAUGCCGCGUGUAUGAAGAAGGCCUUCGGGUUGUAAAGUACUUUCAGCGAGGAGGAAGGCGUUGUGGUUAAUAACCGCAGCGAUUGACGUUACUCGCAGAAGAAGCACCGGCUAACUCCGUGCCAGCAGCCGCGGUAAUACGGAGGGUGCAAGCGUUAAUCGGAAUUACUGGGUGUAAAGCGCACGCAGGCGGUUUGUCAAGUCGGAUGUGAAAUCCCCGGGCUCAACCUGGGAACUGCAUCCGAAACUGGCAGGCUAGAGUCUUGUAGAGGGGGGUAGAAUUCCAGGUGUAGCGGUGAAAUGCGUAGAGAUCUGGAGGAAUACCGGUGGCGAAGGCGGCCCCCUGGACAGAGACUGACGCUCAGGUGCGAAAGCGUGGGGAGCAAACA